This 111-nucleotide ribosomal RNA is filed under the name Escherichia coli. The record is from RNAcentral. Lineage: Bacteria; Pseudomonadati; Pseudomonadota; Gammaproteobacteria; Enterobacterales; Enterobacteriaceae.
UGGCGGUCUUAGCGCGGUGGUCCCACCUGACCCCAUGCCGAACUCAGAAGUGAAACGCCGUAGCGCCGAUGGUAGUGUGGGGUCUCCCCAUGCGAGAGUAGGGAACUGCCA